Molecule: ribosomal RNA, 252 nt
Filed under: uncultured bacterium
Lineage: Bacteria
Description: partial 16S ribosomal RNA
Rfam family: Bacterial small subunit ribosomal RNA
Source: RNAcentral
UACGUAGGUGGCAAGCGUUGUCCGGAAUUAUUGGGCGUAAAGAGCUCGUAGGCGGCUUGUCGCGUCGGAUGUGAAAGCCCGGGCUUAACUCCGGGUCUGCAUUCGAUACGGGCAGGCUAGAGUUCGGUAGGGGAGAUCGGAAUUCCUGGUGUAGCGGUGAAAUGCGCAGAUAUCAGGAGGAACACCGAUGGCGAAGGCAGGUCUCUGGGCCACUACUGACGCUGAGAAGCGAAAGCAUGGGGAGCGAACAGG